Long non-coding RNA from Crotalus tigris (Tiger rattlesnake), 691 nucleotides. RefSeq lists it as uncharacterized. The record is from RefSeq and is a predicted model, not a curated record. Lineage: Eukaryota; Metazoa; Chordata; Lepidosauria; Squamata; Viperidae. The transcript is spliced from 4 exons.
UUGGGGCGCACUUAGCGUCAGGUAUAAUUAAGCAUAAUUUGAAAAACGAGGCUUGUUGAAUCAGCUAUACUUGCUGGGGUCGUAUUAAUUCGGCCUCUAGAUUUAAGCUUGGUCGGUGACUUUGAGACAGUCAUACUUUUUCAACUCGCAUUUCCAUCUAAUUGUACACGUUACAAACAAAUGUUGCAAAAACUCUCAACCUGUCAAGAUGCAAACCCCGGCCUCUCAUGAUUACUGUGAAUCUACAUCGCAUUGGAGGAGAAGGGAAUGUUAUAUACGUGAGCUUCUGCAGGGAAGAAUUUGCCAGCUUUGAAAAUACCCCUAUUCAUAAGAAAACAUUAAGUUAAAUAAUGAUGGUCAUAGAAGAUGAUAGAGUAUUUUCAUGGCUGAAGUGAUUCCACCAAUUUGCACCACAUUGAAACACUCUAUGAUUGAUUUUCUGCAGCAUAUUCAGUAAACACAUUGCAAAUGAAGAGGAAAAUUGUGGGAAGACCUGGAGGAACGUUGUCCAUGGAGUCGCGAUGGGUCGGACACGACUUCGCAAUUAACAACAACAACAUGUAUUCAUCAGUGAGUUUAGGCACUCAUUUUGCGUGCCUUGCAUAUUUUUUCCUGCCUGUAUCUGUACAAUAUUCAUGAAUUUUUGAUUGCUAUGAAACUGAACCAUUAAUUAAUAAAAGCAAAUAGAAUA